CCGCCGGCGACCGGCGCACGGGUGAGUAACACGUAUGCAACCUGGCCGUGACAGAUGGAUAACCGGGAGAAAUCCCGCCUAAUACAACAUAAUGCCGGGAGGGGACAUCCCCUGCCGGCCAAAGGGGGCGACCCCCGGUCACGGAUGGGCAUGCGGCGCAUUAGGUAGUUGGUGGGGCAACGGCCCACCAAGCCGACGAUGCGUAGGGGUUCUGUGAGGAAGGUCCCCCACAUUGGAACUGAGACACGGUCCAAACUCCUACGGAAGGCAGCAG
RNAcentral lists this ribosomal RNA (274 nucleotides) under uncultured bacterium. Its description in RNAcentral is "partial 16S ribosomal RNA". It matches the Rfam family "Bacterial small subunit ribosomal RNA", at positions 85 to 354 of the family's 1533-position model. The record is from RNAcentral.